UUUAGGGUUUGUUCUAUAGAUAUGUCAGCCUCCUAGCAGCAGCAACAUCAACAGUUCAACACAGAUAUAGCGCGCGCACACAGCACACAAAGCAGCAAGCAGAGCAAGACCUCCUUCCUAAUAGCAGCAGACAGAAGUUCCUCGUCAUUGUUGAUCGUCGUCGAGGAGGGUGACCACAAUCUAGAACCUCCUCCUGAACAGUGAGCAGGUGAGCUUGAUCAGCCAGCAAAUCCGGCAAGCUCCGCACCUUCUCCCUGAUAUGGAAAUGCUGAGAACGACCACCAGAAAGUUCAGAAAAAAAACAUGCAAGAAGAAGUUCAGAUAAACAUUUAGAUUACUCUGAACAACCAAUGAGGUACUGACUACUGACUACAACAGAAUAAGCAAAAUGUCUGAAUAAUUGCAGGAUAGAAUGCAACGAACACGACGAUCAAUUAGCCGUAGCCCGGUUAAGAAGAGAGGUUUAUGUGAGUUAAGAAAGGCUCAGAUAUGCUUAUGCCUGUGGGAAUGAAAUUGUAAACGUAAAUUUCAAACUCCUUUCCAGUCUAGAAACACAUUGCAGGGAACAACCACCACCUGCUCAUCUUGAUAUCAAGGCUUUUCUUGCUUAGACUGUAAAUAGACCAAUGCACCGAUACGGCACCAGCGCCAGCACCAGCACCAGCGCCAGCGCCGGUUAU
Molecule: long non-coding RNA, 680 nt
Filed under: Triticum aestivum (bread wheat)
Lineage: Eukaryota; Viridiplantae; Streptophyta; Magnoliopsida; Poales; Poaceae
Description: long non-coding RNA (TAES_LNC017087)
Source: RNAcentral